UACGUAGGGCGCAAGCGUUGUCCGGAAUUAUUUGGGCGGUAAAGAGCUCGUAGGCGGCUUGUCACGAUCGGGUGUGGAAAGCCCCGGGGCUUAACCCCCGGGUCUUGCAUUCGAUACGGGGCAGGCUAGAGUGUGGUAGGGGAGAUCGGAAUUCCUGGUGUAGCGGUGAAAUGCGCAGAUAUCAGGAGGAACACCGGUGGCGAAGGCGGGUCUCUGGGCCGAUACUGACGCUGGAGGAGCGAAAGCGUGGGGAGCGAACAGG
This 262-nucleotide ribosomal RNA is filed under the name uncultured bacterium. RNAcentral's name for it is "partial 16S ribosomal RNA". It matches the Rfam family "Bacterial small subunit ribosomal RNA", at positions 524 to 776 of the family's 1533-position model. The record is from RNAcentral.